GGUUAAGCGACUAAGCGUACACGGUGGAUGCCCUGGCAGUCAGAGGCGAUGAAGGACGUGCUAAUCUGCGAUAAGCGUCGGUAAGGUGAUAUGAACCGUUAUAACCGGCGAUUUCCGAAUGGGGAAACCCAGUGUGUUUCGACACACUAUCAUUAACUGAAUCCAUAGGUUAAUGAGGCGAACCGGGGGAACUGAAACAUCUAAGUACCCCGAGGAAAAGAAAUCAACCGAGAUUCCCCCAGUAGCGGCGAGCGAACGGGGAGCAGCCCAGAGCCUGAAUCAGUGUGUGUGUUAGUGGAAGCGUCUGGAAAGGCGUGCGAUACAGGGUGACAGCCCCGUACACAAAAAUGCACAUGCUGUGAGCUCGAUGAGUAGGGCGGGACACGUGGUAUCCUGUCUGAAUAUGGGGGGACCAUCCUCCAAGGCUAAAUACUCCUGACUGACCGAUAGUGAACCAGUACCGUGAGGGAAAGGCGAAAAGAACCCCGGCGAGGGGAGUGAAAAAGAACCUGAAACCGUGUACGUACAAGCAGUGGGAGCCUCUUUUAUGGGGUGACUGCGUACCUUUUGUAUAAUGGGUCAGCGACUUAUAUUCUGUAGCAAGGUUAACCGAAUAGGGGAGCCGAAGGGAAACCGAGUCUUAACUGGGCGUUAAGUUGCAGGGUAUAGACCCGAAACCCGGUGAUCUAGCCAUGGGCAGGUUGAAGGUUGGGUAACACUAACUGGAGGACCGAACCGACUAAUGUUGAAAAAUUAGCGGAUGACUUGUGGCUGGGGGUGAAAGGCCAAUCAAACCGGGAGAUAGCUGGUUCUCCCCGAAAGCUAUUUAGGUAGCGCCUCGUGAAUUCAUCUCCGGGGGUAGAGCACUGUUUCGGCAAGGGGGUCAUCCCGACUUACCAACCCGAUGCAAACUGCGAAUACCGGAGAAUGUUAUCACGGGAGACACACGGCGGGUGCUAACGUCCGUCGUGAAGAGGGAAACAACCCAGACCGCCAGCUAAGGUCCCAAAGUCAUGGUUAAGUGGGAAACGAUGUGGGAAGGCCCAGACAGCCAGGAUGUUGGCUUAGAAGCAGCCAUCAUUUAAAGAAAGCGUAAUAGCUCACUGGUCGAGUCGGCCUGCGCGGAAGAUGUAACGGGGCUAAACCAUGCACCGAAGCUGCGGCAGCGACGCUUAUGCGUUGUUGGGUAGGGGAGCGUUCUGUAAGCCUGUGAAGGUGUGCUGUGAGGCAUGCUGGAGGUAUCAGAAGUGCGAAUGCUGACAUAAGUAACGAUAAAGCGGGUGAAAAGCCCGCUCGCCGGAAGACCAAGGGUUCCUGUCCAACGUUAAUCGGGGCAGGGUGAGUCGACCCCUAAGGCGAGGCCGAAAGGCGUAGUCGAUGGGAAACAGGUUAAUAUUCCUGUACUUGGUGUUACUGCGAAGGGGGGACGGAGAAGGCUAUGUUGGCCGGGCGACGGUUGUCCCGGUUUAAGCGUGUAGGCUGGUUUUCCAGGCAAAUCCGGAAAAUCAAGGUUGAGGCGUGAUGACGAGGCACUACGGUGCUGAAGCAACAAAUGCCCUGCUUCCAGGAAAAGCCUCUAAGCAUCAGGUAACAUCAAAUCGUACCCCAAACCGACACAGGUGGUCAGGUAGAGAAUACCAAGGCGCUUGAGAGAACUCGGGUGAAGGAACUAGGCAAAAUGGUGCCGUAACUUCGGGAGAAGGCACGCUGAUAUGUAGGUGAAGCGACUUGCUCGUGGAGCUGAAAUCAGUCGAAGAUACCAGCUGGCUGCAACUGUUUAUUAAAAACACAGCACUGUGCAAACACGAAAGUGGACGUAUACGGUGUGACGCCUGCCCGGUGCCGGAAGGUUAAUUGAUGGGGUCAGCGCAAGCGAAGCUCUUGAUCGAAGCCCCGGUAAACGGCGGCCGUAACUAUAACGGUCCUAAGGUAGCGAAAUUCCUUGUCGGGUAAGUUCCGACCUGCACGAAUGGCGUAAUGAUGGCCAGGCUGUCUCCACCCGAGACUCAGUGAAAUUGAACUCGCUGUGAAGAUGCAGUGUACCCGCGGCAAGACGGAAAGACCCCGUGAACCUUUACUAUAGCUUGACACUGAACAUUGAGCCUUGAUGUGUAGGAUAGGUGGGAGGCUUAGAAGUGUGGACGCCAGUCUGCAUGGAGCCGACCUUGAAAUACCACCCUUUAAUGUUUGAUGUUCUAACGUUGACCCGUAAUCCGGGUUGCGGACAGUGUCUGGUGGGUAGUUUGACUGGGGCGGUCUCCUCCUAAAGAGUAACGGAGGAGCACGAAGGUUGGCUAAUCCUGGUCGGACAUCAGGAGGUUAGUGCAAUGGCAUAAGCCAGCUUGACUGCGAGCGUGACGGCGCGAGCAGGUGCGAAAGCAGGUCAUAGUGAUCCGGUGGUUCUGAAUGGAAGGGCCAUCGCUCAACGGAUAAAAGGUACUCCGGGGAUAACAGGCUGAUACCGCCCAAGAGUUCAUAUCGACGGCGGUGUUUGGCACCUCGAUGUCGGCUCAUCACAUCCUGGGGCUGAAGUAGGUCCCAAGGGUAUGGCUGUUCGCCAUUUAAAGUGGUACGCGAGCUGGGUUUAGAACGUCGUGAGACAGUUCGGUCCCUAUCUGCCGUGGGCGCUGGAGAACUGAGGGGGGCUGCUCCUAGUACGAGAGGACCGGAGUGGACGCAUCACUGGUGUUCGGGUUGUCAUGCCAAUGGCACUGCCCGGUAGCUAAAUGCGGAAGAGAUAAGUGCUGAAAGCAUCUAAGCACGAAACUUGCCCCGAGAUGAGUUCUCCCUGACCCUUUAAGGGUCCUGAAGGAACGUUGAAGACGACGACGUUGAUAGGCCGGGUGUGUAAGCGCAGCGAUGCGUUGAGCUAACCGGUACUAAUGAACCGUGAGGCUUAACCUU
This 2904-nucleotide ribosomal RNA is filed under the name Escherichia coli. RNAcentral describes it as "23S ribosomal RNA". It matches the Rfam family "Bacterial large subunit ribosomal RNA". Lineage: Bacteria; Pseudomonadati; Pseudomonadota; Gammaproteobacteria; Enterobacterales; Enterobacteriaceae. The record is from RNAcentral.